Molecule: transfer RNA, 72 nt
Filed under: Sphaerodactylus townsendi
Lineage: Eukaryota; Metazoa; Chordata; Lepidosauria; Squamata; Sphaerodactylidae
Description: tRNA-Ala
Rfam family: tRNA
About the family: Transfer RNA (tRNA) molecules are approximately 80 nucleotides in length. Their secondary structure includes four short double-helical elements and three loops (D, anti-codon, and T loops).
Source: RNAcentral
GGAGCCAUGGCUCAAUGGUAGAGCAACUGUUUGGCAGGACAAAGACUCCAGGUUCAGUCCCUGGCAUCUCCA